UACCCGGGCUUAAAUUGCAGAUGAAUUACGGUGAAAGCCGUAAGCCGCAAGGCAUCUGUGAAGGUGCUGCAUGGUUGUCGUCAGCUCGUGCCGUGAGGUGUCGGCUUAAGUGCCAUAACGAGCGCAACCCUUGUUGUCAGUUACUAACAGGUUCCGCUGAGGACUCUGACAAGACUGCCAUCGUAAGAUGUGAGGAAGGGGGGGAU
RNAcentral lists this ribosomal RNA (206 nucleotides) under bacterium enrichment culture DGGE gel band 109. RNAcentral's name for it is "partial 16S ribosomal RNA". It matches the Rfam family "Bacterial small subunit ribosomal RNA", at positions 972 to 1180 of the family's 1533-position model. The record is from RNAcentral.